This 258-nucleotide ribosomal RNA is filed under the name uncultured bacterium. RNAcentral describes it as "partial 16S ribosomal RNA". It matches the Rfam family "Bacterial small subunit ribosomal RNA", at positions 524 to 778 of the family's 1533-position model. The record is from RNAcentral.
UACAGAGGUCUCAAGCGUUGUUCGGAUUCAUUGGGCGUAAAGGGUGCGUAGGUGGCGCGGUAAGUCGGGUGUGAAAUUUCGGAGCUUAACUCCGAAACUGCAUUCGAUACUGCCGUGCUUGAGGACUGGAGAGGAGACUGGAAUUUACGGUGUAGCAGUGAAAAUGCGUAGAGAUCGUAAGGAAGACCAGUGGCGAAGGCGGGUCUCUGGACAGUUCCUGACACUGAGGCACGAAGGCCCAGGGGGAGCAAAACGGGG